GAAAUGCGAUACGUAAUGCGAAUUGCAGAAUUCAGUGAAUCAUCAAAUCUUUGAACGCAAAUUGCGCUCUCGGGUAUGCCUGGGAGCACGCCUCUUUGAGUAUCGGUUCUACCUCACCUCGACAGCGUGCUUUAAAAACACACGUGUAGUCGGAAAAUGAGCUUGUCUCAGUAUACCUGUUAUUCUGAGUCGCUUUAAACACAGGGAAGAACCUGGGCCUUCCCACAUCAAAUUGGGGGAUGACGCAAGAUAAUUCACUCUUCGUGAGUGUUUACAACCUUCGUCUCCUCUGAGGGAAUGAUCCGGUUUUGAUCCAGGAAUUUUUUCUUCUUCGGAAGAGAAAACACCUUUCAGAAUAAGAUCUCAGAUGAAGCGAGAAUACCCGCCGAAUUUAA
This 395-nucleotide unclassified non-coding RNA is filed under the name uncultured fungus. RNAcentral's name for it is "sequence contains ITS1". The stretch from base 1 to 105 matches the Rfam family "5.8S ribosomal RNA", at positions 50 to 154 of the family's 154-position model. The record is from RNAcentral. Lineage: Eukaryota; Fungi.